AAAUCCCCCUUUUGGCCAGAAAAUCCUUCUUAUGAAGGGAUAGGGUUUGUUCGGCCGGAUUUUACACAAGUGUGCAUGGCGUCGUCAGCUCGUGUCGUGAGAUGUUGGGUUAAGUCCCGCAACGAGCGCAACCCUCAUCCUUAGUUGCCAUCAGGUAAUGCUGAGUACUUUAAGGAAACUGCCAGUGAUAAGCUGGAGGAAGGUGGGGAUGAUGUCAAGUCAUCAUGGCCUUUAUGGAGUGGGCUACACACGUGCUACAAUGGUGUCUACAAUGGGCUGCAAGGUGCGCAAGCCUAAGCUAAUCCCUAAAAGACAUCUCAGUUCGGAUUGUACUCUGCAACUCGAGUACAUGAAGUUGGAAUCGCUAGUAAUCGUGGAUCAGCAUGCCACGGUGAAUACGUUCUCGGGUCUUGUACACACUGCCCGUCACGCCAUGGGAAUUGGUUUCACUCGAAGCUAAUGGCCUAACCGCAAGGAAGGAGUUAUUAAAGUGGGAUCAGGACUGGUGG
This 509-nucleotide ribosomal RNA is filed under the name Wolbachia endosymbiont of Kerria lacca. RNAcentral's name for it is "bacterial SSU rRNA". It matches the Rfam family "Bacterial small subunit ribosomal RNA", at positions 966 to 1480 of the family's 1533-position model. Lineage: Bacteria; Pseudomonadati; Pseudomonadota; Alphaproteobacteria; Rickettsiales; Anaplasmataceae. The record is from RNAcentral.